CCUACGGGGGGCAGCAGUGGGGAAUAUUGCGCAAUGGGCGAAAGUCUGACGCAGCGACGCCGCGUGAGGGAUGAAGGUCUUCGGAUCUGAAAACUCUGUCAGCAGGGGAGAAAGGUCAGUGUGCUAAUCAGCAGUGAAUUGACGGUACCUGACCAAGAAGCCCCGGCUAACUACGUGCCAGCAGCCGCGGUAAUACGUAGGGGGCAAGCGUUAUCCGGAUUUACUGGGUGUGAAGGGGGCGGAGACGGCAAUGCAAGCUAGAAGUGAAAGCCCGGGGCCCAACCCCGGUACUGCUCUUGGAACUGCAUGGAUGGAGUACAGUAGGGGCAGGCGGAAUGUCUGGUGUAGCGGUGAAAUGCGUAGAGAUUAUGAGGAACACCGGUGGCGAAGGCGGCCUGCUGGACUGUUACUGACGUUGAGGCCCGAAGGCGUGGGGAGCAAACAGGAUUAGAUACCCCGGUAGUC
Molecule: ribosomal RNA, 465 nt
Filed under: uncultured bacterium
Lineage: Bacteria
Description: partial 16S ribosomal RNA
Rfam family: Bacterial small subunit ribosomal RNA
Source: RNAcentral